AGAGCGGGCAAGAGCGAAAGAAAAAUGAACGACCCCGCGUCCUUCCUCACACCGCGUACCUGCGUCCUUCCUCACAACCCUAGCCGCCGCCCCUUCUCCUCCCAUCGCCGCCCCCUCCUCCUCCUCCCACCUCAGUCGCCUCCCGGGCUUCCCCUAGCCGCCGCCUCCUCCUCCUCCUCCUCCCAUCUCAGUCUCCCCCCCAUCGCAUCUUGUCCGCCGCCGGUGCGGAGGCGAGCUUCCUGGUGACGGCGGCGGUGCUGGAUUCAAUCUGCAGGAGAGAGAGGGAGGUGUGGCUUCGGAGGGUCUCCGCUGGCGUCGGCCUGCGCCGGAGAGGUCGGGCGCGACCUGGCGAUUGGAGUUUGGAGUUCGUGCACUGCUGCCUCUUCCGCCAAGCAGGAGGAGCACGAGGAAAAGUUCAAGCUCAUACAACGAUGCUGUUGUUUUCGACCUCCAAGGACACGUGCCGGCAUCCGGGUACGCAAGCAACCAAUACAACCACGACAUGGUGCAGUCGGCCUUCUCCGACGAGCUUCCGCCCCUGCAUCAACAGCAGCACCGCGCUGGCUGUUGAAGCAUCGAGUUCAACAGCGGUGGCAAUGAACCCUUCUACAACAGAAAAUAUCAGGAAGCAGCAGCUCAGUAUACCGAAACUCUGAAAAAGAAUUUGAAUGAGUCUGCACUGCAGGGGAGGGGGAGGAGGCCGGCUACAGGGGGAAGGAGUAGGCCGGUGAGAAGGGCAAGUGGCAGGGGACAAGUAAUCUGCUCUAAUUAUCAGUUUCUUACAAUUUGUAAUAGCGAAACUCUUGCUUCCUUGCCCAUAAGAGAAAAUACACCAAUUUUUUUAUCACCUUAGCUUGUCGAUGGCAUACCACCCUGUACUGUGAGCCAGCAAUCGAUCUGUGAGCCCUCUUGCACUAUAUUAUGUAUCAGGGUUGUAACGCUAUUAUAUUUGGGAGGACGCUCUAAGUGGAAAGUACGGAUAUGUUUCAGAGAGUACGGAUAUGUUUCAGAGUGUCGCAAAGUAAAAGUUGGUAUGGUGCCAGCCUAGGUGAUGUAGUCCAAAAGGAAUCUCUCGAGUUUAUGAGUUGAUAGUAUAUUUGAAUCUCUUGGGCUGUUGUAGAUUUUGUUCUUCCCCACUUCUAGAUCUUCCACAAGUAAAAGUUGGUAUGGUGCCAGCCUAGGUGAUGUAGUCCAAAAGGAAUCUCUCGGGUUUAUGAGUUGAUAUUAUAUUUGAAUCUCUUGGGCUGCUGUAGAUUUUGUUCUUCCCCACUUCUAGAUCUUCCACAAGUAAUCUUUUUAUUUUCUAAAAUAUGUAUGUUCGCUCAUUGGACUGCAACAGCCAGAGAUGCUAGAGAUGGAGACUAAAUAGCGAGGAGAAGCAGAUGAGAAUAUUGAUUUGGAAAUUCGAAGUAUUAAACAAUUGGUCUGGCCUUUGGCCAUGGUAAGGUAACUUCUGUUUUAUAAGCCUGUUUUUUCUAACAUCCACCUUGGUCUCCUUCUCGAUCUUGCCUGCCUUGCUCGUGUGCUUCUCCUUGUCAGCUCAGGUAAAUGGACUGUUCUUUUGCUUGUCUUUGCACCAUUUCAUUAAAUGCUUGUGCUACUUCCAUUUUUCUUAUAGGCAUAGCUAAAUCCAGAGGUGUUUUGUAUUCAGAAUAGUAGGAAUAAAAUUUAGAGAAACACAAGCGUGCAGGCUGCCAAUUUAGUGCUCGUGUACAACCAUUCAUUAUUCUUCCUAUUUCUUUGUUCCAUUAAUUCAAGAGAACUACAAAAAUGAUUAGGAGAGGUUUUUCCGCUCUUUAUAGUCAAGCUCGCCUAUCAGUUAGUGAUGGUGCUGGAUAUGGCCGCCAUGUAAGUUCUUCUACAAAACAGACAUAUUUACUAUAUCUAUUUUAUUGGGAAUUUCAAGUGAUUUUCCGCUGUUAAACAACUAUUGUUCUAACAAAAUCUAUGUUUCAAGCAUGUCUUCAAUAUUUACUUUGAAAAAACUAAAUAAGAAAUUUUUCGUUAUAGAUUGGGUUAGAGAACUGACCAAUCUCAUCAUCGCCAUCCCUCCCAAUUUUAAUAUGGUAAAAUAAACUGUGUGCCAUACCUGAUGAAAAUACAUAGCCAUGUGGUGGGAGUUUUCCUUCCUGUAGUUUUUAGUGUGUAAUGACACUGUGAUUAAGCUAAUCUUAGAGAUUGUUAAUGUCCACUCUCUUUUCAUCUGAUUUCCAUUUUUGACAUGGACAUAUACCAUGCGGUAUACUCCCUCCGUAAAUAAAUAUAAGAGCGUUUAGAUCACUUCCCUCCGUAAAGAAAUCUAAGAGCUUUUAGAUCACUAAAGUAGUGAUCUAAACGCUCUUAUAUUUAUUUACGGAGGGAGUAAUAUUUAAGAAGAAUGACUUGGAAAUUUCAAAUAGAUGGUUACUCUUACCCGUAGUUUAUUUGGGAGUGAGAUAUGUAUGCUGAUAGCGUCUAGAGAUACCUUCUAAUCAAUAAAAAUAAGAUCUGAUCGUGCGCUAUAUGUUGAUUCUCUUACAUAUGUAUUAUGACAAAAUUAAGGCACAUAUGUUGAUAUUGGACUGAUAACCUUAGUACAUGAAAAGGUGUUGAAAAGGACGCAAUCCUUCAAAGAUAUGUAGUACUCCCGUCCCAAAAUAAGUGUCUUAACCUUAGUACUUUAGUACAAAGUUGAGACACUUAUUUUGAGACGGGAAUAUGUUAUAGGAUCCUCGCUUUAUUUGUACCCAUCUGUUGUAAGGAGAUUAUCUUGUCCACUUAUUAUUCUUAUUAUUUGUCCUUUUCGCAUUAAUCGUGAGCUGAUGUUAUUUGCAUAUUAGUCCAAGAACAACAAUUGCUCUUUGUUGUGGCAUUACUGGAGAAAUACAAAGGUAUAUACCCGCUUCCCACUACUCGGGGAGAUCCCUGAGGCAUUUGAAUCUUGUGGGACUCCCACACAUCUUAUAGGAGCAUCAACAAGUGGAUGGGCCUAUCCAUUUUUAAGAAAAGCUUUAGGCCUUGUUCGGUUGACAGGGAUUUAGGAGGGGUUUGGCAGGGAUUGAGGUGGAUAUAAUCUCCCACAAGUCAAAAUCCACCCAAAUCCCCUCCAAUCCUCUUAAGAAGAGGUGUAACCGAACAAGGCCUUAGAUGUGUUCAGACAGUUUCUGAUUCAAACGAAAACAAAUAAGAAAGGAUAUAUUGAUUAUAUUACAUAAUCUUAUUUGAUUUUCCAGUGAAGUUCAAACUUGAGAACUUAUUCGAGUAUUUAGUGCAAAGAUAAUUAAAUGAAGUUCCCAAAAUGCCUCUGUCGGUUUUAGUUGCAUUUGAAUUUUUUUAUUUGGAUCCUUGUACAUUCAAACAGUUUCUGUUUCAAAAGCAAACAACUGAGAGAAGAUAAGAUGCUGAAGCAACACCCUAACAGUGGUUGCAGUAGAUCUCUCUCUCUCUCUCUCUCAUUCUCUUUCCAUUUUGGUUGACCAUUCUUUCUUUUCUUAGGUCUUCGAUCCGAUUCUUCUUCAACGAAGCUGACCAUGAUCUCCUACAUGUGUUGCCCUGCUCCCUGAAGCAUCCUUCUCUCUUCCAGAUCCAACUCUUUUCGUUCUGGUUUUAACUAUGCUUAUGAUUGCCUGUCUUGCCUAUAUUCAUUCGCCAUACGCAAGUCUACUGGUGUGUGCCAACGGAAAUUAUAUUUGCAUAAUCAGAUUAGAUUAUAUGAUUUCCUGACCUUGAUUCCUCCUCGAUUGGUUACUAAAAUAUAUGUACAAUUCUUCCAUUCUGUGCUUACAAUCGCAAAGUUAAUGCCUUCAAUUUACUUAAGCUAUAGAAAUCUGUUUGAUUUCCUCUAGACAUAGGUAUCAUUGUAUUCCUGAAUCCAUUUGAUUUCAUGUCUCUGCUGUUAUAUUUAUGAUCUUGUAAUCUCAUGUCAUCGGUUUGCUCAGGGGUUAUUAGAUUCUUGAUGGUCAUGCAUGCUAAAACUUUUUCGAUCAUCAUUCUUAAUAUACACUCCAUUUACAGCUUGUGCCUAACCUUUGGAUUUAUCUUUUUUCAAAGUGCUCCUCAUGGAGUUGGUUGAGCUAUCCAACAAGUUUCUGGCUGACGUAAUGUUUGAAAAGCUCUUGCUCCUAAACCAGUCUACUUCGUAAGUAGCUCGAGCAGGGUGGAUAUGCAUGUAGUUGAGUUUUACCCCACAAAGGAGCAUCUCCACAUUUCAGUAGAAUGAAUUGCGCUGUCAAGCCACGUAUGUAAGGAUAGGGUGUCAUCGAUGAAUCGUGCGGCUGUUCGAGCCAUCAGGUUCAUGGAAUGCAGAAAGCACAAGGUGCAUGUUGAUUUCAACUAUGAGCAGAAGAAAUAAAAGGCAUAUGUAAGCGUCACAGACAAGCUACUCUUAAAAGGAAAAGAAAUCAAGCAUUUCCGCAUUUCAACUAUGACUAGGGAAGGGUGUGACAAUGUGGAUGAAGCGCGUGUUGCAUCUAACAAAAUCCAUGUUCUUGCUGGAGCUACUUCUUCAAUGGCUAUCUGUAAUAUCAGACAAGCUCUUCUAAAGAUUCAUGGUGUUGUGGUUGAACUUCUGAGCGUUACAAGCACGGCAUGUUUCUCACUGCAGAAGGAAGGUAUAUACCCAUAGCAGAAGAAAGGUAUAUACCCCUAUGAUCCAGACUAAGACUCAAGCUGUGGUGAGGAUUUUGUCGCUAUGAACCAACCUUCAAUGUAAUAUAUAACACUAUGUAGGAACAUUAUACGUGUAUCUAUUUCCCUAUUCUACAAAGAGUUGUUUGCUCUCGCUCUUUGCGCCAUUGGCGCAACGGGUCAUAUAGUACCAAGUAAAUGAUGAUGUGUCUCAGACUCUGAACAUAUCCUGCAAUGCAAUAAAGGGUGCUCUCACUCUAAAAUUAUGAAAGCCAAAACAUAGAAGGCUCAUGAAAUGAACAACAACCCCCGAUCUGCAAAUAGGGUAGCAAGAAAUAUAUUUGUGAAUUAACAAUCAAAUAAUUAAACAAUAGAAAAGUAGAACGACGCAGCAAGGCCCGCGUAUGCUUCUAGUCCAC
Long non-coding RNA from Triticum aestivum (bread wheat), 5024 nucleotides. RefSeq lists it as uncharacterized. The transcript has 5 exons. NCBI's taxonomy places the organism in Eukaryota, Viridiplantae, Streptophyta, Magnoliopsida, Poales, Poaceae. The record is from RefSeq and is a predicted model, not a curated record.